RNAcentral lists this transfer RNA (76 nucleotides) under Salmonella enterica. RNAcentral describes it as "tRNA-Arg". It matches the Rfam family "tRNA". From Rfam's summary of the family: Transfer RNA (tRNA) molecules are approximately 80 nucleotides in length. The record is from RNAcentral. Lineage: Bacteria; Pseudomonadati; Pseudomonadota; Gammaproteobacteria; Enterobacterales; Enterobacteriaceae. RNAcentral also lists the same sequence under 3 other names.
AUGCUGUUAGCUCAGCAGGUUAGAGAAUUGCCUUCUAAGCAAUCGGUCACUGGUUCGAUUCCAGUACAGCGUACCA